CUGGGUCCCACUGGGGCAUGCGCGGAGUGCAACGGUGGCAGAGUCUCCACGUAUUUCAACACUGACCACCUAGUGUGAAAACCAGUUGCACAGGUACCCAGUAGGGGCGAUGCUCCAUAUCCAGGGAGUCAAGCUGAGAGCAAAAUAGAGUAGCCACAGUUUGGAGCAUCCCUGUCUUAGGAGUCUCUGCUCUUGGAAAGGUGGCUCAGCUGAGUUCAAAGUGCCCACCCAGUCCACUGGGGCUGCUGCUUCUGCACCUGGAAGAGACCUGGUGGCAGGUGGAAGCUGGCAAAUCCCAACUUGGAAAUCCCAGCAUCCUCUUCAACUUCCCACAUUUGUGAAUAGAUCAACAGAUGAAGAAACUGGGGUUCAAAAUGAGCUCGGCUAAAGCCACAGUUUUUAAGGAGAAGAACCUUGAGUCCAAGCCAAGAGUGACUUGAAUUUCUGUUCAUUUUCCACCAUCCCAGAGGAAUAUUAGAACAAUUUCCAUUUUGCUGUACAUCAGGGUUUGUUAUUCUGGAAUUGCUUUAUGUGCCUACCAACAGGAGACAGGUUCCAUGAACUGUGCUGUACUGGGUGAUGCAUUCACAGUGCAAUACCAUGAGACAGUGUACCGGAUGCCCCCUAUGUUCAUAUCUGGAAAGUUUUCCAAGAUACACUGUUCUAGAAAAGAGUAAGUGUAUACAGUCUGCUGUCUUUUAAGAAUGAAAAUUGGGGGAGAUAAAAUGCGUUCAUUCUUGACUCACAUCAGCAUGAAUUAACAAUAGGCAAAUACACAAGGAAAAUAAUGUUACCUAGGGAGCAGUGGGGUAAUCCAGUGAGGAGUGGAUUCUCCACAUAUACCUUGUUAUUUUGAUUUGGUUGAACCCUGUGAAUGUAUUACUUAUUCAAGAAAUUAGGUACAUUUUGUACUAAAGAGAGCUUCUCCAC
Long non-coding RNA from Balaenoptera musculus (blue whale), 930 nucleotides. RefSeq lists it as uncharacterized. The transcript is spliced from 4 exons. The record is from RefSeq and is a predicted model, not a curated record. Lineage: Eukaryota; Metazoa; Chordata; Mammalia; Artiodactyla; Balaenopteridae.